GUGGGGAAUCUUCCGCAAUGGACGAAAGUCUGACGGAGCGACGCCGCGUGAGUGAUGAAGGCCUUCGGGUCGUAAAGCUCUGUCAUCGGGGACGAACGGCCUCAGCAGGUAAUGGCUGGGGAUUGACGGUACCCGAGAAGGAAGCCACGGCUAACUACGUGCCAGCAGCCGCGGUAAUACGUAGGUGGCAAGCGUUGUCCGGAAUUAUUGGGCGUAAAGCGCGCGCAAGUGGGAUCUUAAGUCCAUUUUGAAAGUUCGGAGCUCAACUCCGUGAUGGGAUGGAAACUGGGAUUCUUGAGUACCGGAGAGGAAAGCGGAAUUCCCCGUGUAGCGGUGAAAUGCGUAGAUAUGGGGAGGAACACCAGUGGCGAAGGCGGCUUUCUGGACGGUGUCUGACACUGAGGCGCGAAAGCUAGGGGAGCGAACGGGAUUAGAUACCCGAGUAGUCC
RNAcentral lists this ribosomal RNA (449 nucleotides) under uncultured bacterium. RNAcentral's name for it is "partial 16S ribosomal RNA". It matches the Rfam family "Bacterial small subunit ribosomal RNA", at positions 354 to 796 of the family's 1533-position model. The record is from RNAcentral.